Molecule: ribosomal RNA, 503 nt
Filed under: uncultured bacterium
Lineage: Bacteria
Description: bacterial SSU rRNA
Rfam family: Bacterial small subunit ribosomal RNA
Source: RNAcentral
GAUCCUGGCUCAGGAUGAACGCUGGCGGCGUGCUUAACACAUGCAAGUCGAACGAGGCACCUUGCAGAAGUUUCGGAUGGAAGCGGAGGCGACCGAGUGGCGGACGGGUGAGUAACGCGUGGGGAACCUGCCCCAUUCCGGGGGAUACCAGUUGGAAACGACUGUUAAUACCGCAUAAGCGCACGGAAGGACAUCCUUUUGUGUGAAAAAACUGAGGUGGAAUGGGAUGGCCCCGCGUCUGAUUAGCCAGUUGGCAGGGUAACGGCCUACCAAAGCGACGAUCAGUAGCCGGCCUGAGAGGGCGACCGGCCACAUUGGGACUGAGACACGGCCCAAACUCCUACGGGAGGCAGCAGUGGGGAAUAUUGCACAAUGGGGGAAACCCUGAUGCAGCCGACGCCGCGUGAGUGAAGAAGUAUUUCGGUAUGUAAAGCUCUAUCAGCAGGGAAGAAGAUGACGGUACCUGCACAAGAAGCCCCGGCUAACUACGUGCCAGCCGCCGC